GAGUUUGAUCCUGGCUCAGGAUGAACGCUGGCGGCGUGGAUAAGGCAUGCAAGUCAAACGGCCCUUCGGGGCAGUGGCAAACGGGGUAGUAACAGGUAGGAAUGUACCCAGAAGUCAGGAAUAACCCAUCGAAAGAUGGACUAAUACUUGAUAGUCUCGCGAGAGUAAAGAUUUAUCGCUUCUGGAGCAGCCUGCUUCGUAUCAGCUUGUUGGUAGUGUAAUGGACUACCAAGGCUAUGACGCGUAGGGGAGCUGAGAGGCUGACCCCCACCAUUGGUACUGAGACACUGACCAAACACCUACGGGUGGCUGCAGUCGAGAAUCUUCCGCAAUGGACGAAAGUCUGACGGAGCGACGCCGCGUGAUCGAUGAAGUCUUUCGGGAUGUAAAGAUCUUUUAUCAGGGAGGAAGUUUAUUGACGUUACCUGAUGAAUAAGAGGUUGCUAAACUCGUGCCAGCAGCAGCGGUAAUACGAGUGCCUCAAGCGUUAUCCGGAAUUAUUGGGCGUAAAGGGUGCGUAGGCGGAUUUAUUAGUCUUUUGUUAAAGACCCGGGCACAACUCGGGAAGGGCAAGGGAAACGGUAAGUCUAGAGGGUAUGAGGGGUAAGCGGAACUAAUGGUGUAGGGGUGAAAU
RNAcentral lists this ribosomal RNA (634 nucleotides) under uncultured bacterium. RNAcentral's name for it is "bacterial SSU rRNA". It matches the Rfam family "Bacterial small subunit ribosomal RNA", at positions 9 to 687 of the family's 1533-position model. The record is from RNAcentral.